RNAcentral lists this ribosomal RNA (253 nucleotides) under uncultured bacterium. RNAcentral's name for it is "partial 16S ribosomal RNA". It matches the Rfam family "Bacterial small subunit ribosomal RNA", at positions 524 to 776 of the family's 1533-position model. The record is from RNAcentral.
UACGUAGGGGGCUAGCGUUGUCCGGAAUCAUUGGGCGUAAAGCGCGCGUAGGCGGCCAGAUAAGUCCGGUGUGAAAGUCACAGGCUCAACCUGUGAAUGCCGCUGGAAACUGUCUGGCUAGAGUCCGGAAGGGGCGAGUGGAAUUCCUGGUGUAGCGGUGAAAUGCGCAGAUAUCAGGAGGAACACCAAUGGCGAAGGCAGCUCGCUGGAACGGUACUGACGCUGAGGCGCGAAAGUGUGGGGAGCGAACAGG